CUUAUCUUGAAACCGAUGGCUUCCGCUUCCCUCCGACUCCACGCUCUUCCCGCUCCCUCCAUCCUUCCCUCCUCCUCCGAUUUUCAAAAUCCCGCUAAAACCCUAACCCUAACCGUUAGAUUCCCUAAAAGAUUCGUCGUCCGAUCAUCUCAGGGCCCCUUAUCGGAGUCGGAGGAGGAUCGAUGGCUUAGGGAAGAGCGGCGGUGGCUUCGGGAGGAGCAGCGGUGGCUUCGAGAGGAAUCCAGAUGGAAUUCCGAGCGGGAUGCGCUCGAUCGGGAGAUCACGACCCUGAAGCUCGAGAUCGAGGUUCUAAAGCGGGAGAGAUUGUCACAGGAAGCAUCAGUCGUUGAUCUGAUAACGAAUCUCACGGGUCUCUUGCAGACCCUGAAGGGUGCAGAUUUGAAGUCCGUCGUGGCGUCAUCUCGUAGUCAGAUUCCUGAUCGAAUCGAAGAAAAACAUGUUUUAUUAGAAGAAGAGCCUGUUGUUGACUCCGCGCCAGAGAAAGAGCGGAAAAAAAAGAAGAGGUUGUUGAGGAAGGGUUCAGAAGGAGAGGAUGUUAGAGCUAUGCAGAAAGCUUUGCAGAAAUUAGGAUUCUACUCAGGCGAGGAGGAUGUCGAAUUUUCAACUUUUUCGAGCGGAACCGAGAGUGCUGUAAAAACAUGGCAAGCAUCGGUUGGGUUGCCUGAAGAUGGAGUUAUGACUUUGGAACUGUUGGAAAGGCUACAUGGAGAGGUGCCGCUGCAAGCAAAUGCUGAUGCGGAUUAUGAAGAAACAAGCGUUGAGCCGAUCGCUGGCAAGGAUGGAGUUAAUGGAUCUGUCCGAGCAUCCAGCACUUCAGUCACUGAAGUUUCAGAGAUAAAGGAAAUGCUUUUAACGGACAAUGUUUUCAUGGAAGCUGAGACUUCAGAGCAUAAAGUCUUUCUUCUGGGAGAAAAUAGGUGGGAAGAACCGUCAAGACUUGCAGGUAGCAACAAGCAGAUUGGUAAAGGUGAAGCCAAGUCAGGAACAAAGUGCCUUGCCUGUCGUGGUGAAGGACGUUUGAUGUGCACAGGAACCGAUGUUGCAUGGAAGGCCAGAACAUACUUCCGUACAAGCAAAAGAAAUACUGCUUCGUAUCUCAUGGUACUGAGAGAAGAAUAUUUAGUUGCACACAAGACAGGAGAGCCUUCAUCUGCUUCCAAACGACGAGCCUAGUCCUUAAACUGGGCGUUCUGCAGGCCAGUGGCUGUGACGCAGCACCCUAUGCAUCCGGCGCUGCAGGUGAGACUGACGAAAGAAUGUGAUCGAGAUGCCAUUGGUUCUUGUUUGGUUUGAAGCGGGCAGCAGUCGUAGAUCGUCCGCCUUAUUAUUCUUUAAUCCCCGCACAACUUAGAGGACCUUCAGGUAUGCCAUGGUUCGUUUUAGCCUCUGCUUUGCUAUUUUAUUUUUCCUUGCAGAAUGACAUUUUCUUGCAAGUGAGCAAUGUCUUUUACCUGACAUUUUUUCUGGAAAUGAAUUGGUUGGUCAAAUCCCUCAA
RNA transcript from Nymphaea colorata (pocket water lily), 1516 nucleotides. It is a transcript of the gene named protein disulfide isomerase pTAC5, chloroplastic, with no coding region annotated. NCBI's taxonomy places the organism in Eukaryota, Viridiplantae, Streptophyta, Magnoliopsida, Nymphaeales, Nymphaeaceae. The record is from RefSeq and is a predicted model, not a curated record. The transcript is spliced from 6 exons.